AAUAGCUUAACGGCUGAACCAGCAACUUGGAGGAAUUUUUAGCAUGGCUAUACUGUAAUUAAUGUUACACAAAUCGAUUUACUCGAAUAAGAUUCAAGGUAGAUAAUGAUAAUGACAUUUUCUAUUUUUAUGUCUUGACCAAUUUACGUGCCAGCAGUCGCGGCAAGACGUGAGAGGCUAGCGUUAUUCAUCUUUAAUAGGUUUAAAGCGUUCCUAGACGGUUAAUUAAGGCUUUUAUACUAGAAGGUAAUUAGUCUACUGAUUAAACUAGAGUUACAUGUAAGGGUGAUUUAAAGUACUAGUGAGUGUAGAGAUGAAAUUCAGUUAUACGAAAUAUGUAAGUAAGGCACAGGUAACGGCGAAAGCAUCACCUUAUGUAUAACUGACGUUGAAGGACGAAG
RNAcentral lists this ribosomal RNA (401 nucleotides) under Coccocarpia palmicola. RNAcentral describes it as "SSU rRNA". It matches the Rfam family "Bacterial small subunit ribosomal RNA", at positions 370 to 758 of the family's 1533-position model. The record is from RNAcentral. Lineage: Eukaryota; Fungi; Ascomycota; Lecanoromycetes; Peltigerales; Coccocarpiaceae.